UGAGGAAUAUUGGGCAAUGCCCGCAAGGGUGACCCAGCAACGCCGCGUGGAGGAUGAAUGUCGUAAGAUUGUAAACUCCUGUUAGAGGGGAAGAAUAGUACCGGUUGGACCGGUAUAUGACUGUACCCUCAGAGAAAGCCCCGGCUAACUACGUGCCAGCAGCCGCGGUAAUACGUAGGGGGCAAGCGUUGUCCGGAUUUACUGGGUGUAAAGGGCGCGCAGGCGGGAUAAAAAGUCAGUGGUGAAAUCCCACAGCUUAACUGUGGAACUGCCUUUGAUACUUUUAUUCUUGAGUUCGGGAGAGAGAGACGGAAUUCCAGGUGUAGUGGUGAAAUACGUAGAUAUCUGGAAGAACACCAGUUGCGAAGGCGGUCUCUUGGUCCGACACUGACGCUGAGGCGCGAAAGCGUGGGGAGCAAACA
This 422-nucleotide ribosomal RNA is filed under the name uncultured bacterium. RNAcentral's name for it is "bacterial SSU rRNA". It matches the Rfam family "Bacterial small subunit ribosomal RNA", at positions 355 to 774 of the family's 1533-position model. The record is from RNAcentral.